AGAUAAUAGAUACCCGGGUAGUCCACGCCGUAAACGAUGAGUGCUAAGUGUUAGAGGGUUUCCGCCCUUUAGUGCUGCAGCUAAACGCAUUAAGCACUCCGCCUGGGGAGUACGGCCGCAAGGCUGAAACUCAAAGGAAUUGACGGGGGCCCGCACAAGCGGUGGAGCAUGUGGUUUAAUUCGAAGCAACGCGAAGAACCUUACCAGGUCUUGACAUCCUCUGACACUCCUAGAGAUAGGACUUUCCCCUUCGGGGGACAGAGUGACAGGUGGUGCAUGGUUGUCGUCAGCUCGUGUCGUGAGAUGUUGGGUUAAGUCCCGCAACGAGCGCAACCCUUGAUCUUAGUUGCCAGCAUUCAGUUGGGCACUCUAAGGUGACUGCCGGUGACAAACCGGAGGAAGGUGGGGAUGACGUCAAAUCAUCAUGCCCCUUAUGACCUGGGCUACACACGUGCUACAAUGGAUGGUACAAAGGGCAGCAAAGCCGCGAGGCCUAGCCAAUCCCAUAAAACCAUUCUCAGUUCGGAUUGUA
RNAcentral lists this ribosomal RNA (532 nucleotides) under uncultured bacterium. Its description in RNAcentral is "bacterial SSU rRNA". It matches the Rfam family "Bacterial small subunit ribosomal RNA", at positions 775 to 1302 of the family's 1533-position model. The record is from RNAcentral.